RNAcentral lists this non-coding RNA (196 nucleotides) under uncultured Sporomusa sp. Lineage: Bacteria; Bacillati; Bacillota; Negativicutes; Selenomonadales; Sporomusaceae. The record is from RNAcentral.
GCAAGCACGAUGAGCAGGAAGUUGAUUGUAUACAGGCUUCAGAGAGCCGGCGGCAGGUGUGAGCCGGUGCAGGUAACAGUUGAUUCCGCCUGGGAGUGGCUGAUGAUGAAUCUGACGGGUCCGCCCGGUAUAGCGGCAAAAGUUGGCUGAAAGGCAACAUGGGUGGCAACGCGGGAAAAUAGCUCUCGUCCCUGGU